Molecule: RNA transcript, 2725 nt
Organism: Helianthus annuus (common sunflower)
Lineage: Eukaryota; Viridiplantae; Streptophyta; Magnoliopsida; Asterales; Asteraceae
Exons: 2
Source: RefSeq, a predicted model, not a curated record
GUCCAAAUCAUUGUAUGUUGUAUAGAAAUGAGUUCGAGAAUGAACAUAAGUGUUUUACAUGUAAUGCAUCGAGGUAUAAACGUAAAAAAGAAACCGAUGAAGUUGAUGAUGAUGUGACAAAAAAUGGGCCACCGGCUAAAAUGUUGUGGUAUUUUCCCAUCAUACCGAGAUUGAAACGUCUGUUUUCAAACGAAAAAGAGGCAAAACUAUUACGUUGGCAUUUCAGAUGAGCGUGUAAAUGAUGGAAAAUUAAGACACGUGGCGGAUUCACCUCAGUGGAGAAACAUUGAUAACAUGUAUCCAGAAUUUGGAGAAGAGAUUAGAAACAUACGGUUUGGACUUAGUUCAGACGGAAUCAAUCCUUUCGGCAGCAUGAGUAGUCUCCGUUGUACGUGGCCGGUUCUUUUAUGUAUCUACAAUCUUCCACCGUGGUUAGCCAUGAAACGAAAAUACAUUAUGAUGUCUUUGUUGAUUCAGGGUCCGAAACAACCUGGUAAUGAUAUUGAUGUUUAUUUGUCUCCUUUAAUUGAAGACUUAAAAACUCUAUGGAGUUCAGGUGUAGAUAUGUAUGAUGCUUACAAGAAAGAACAAUUUAAAUUGCGGGCCAUGAUUUUUUGUACCAUAAGUGAUUUUCCUGCGUACAGUAACUUGUCAGGGUACAAGACGAAAGGUAAGAAAGCAUGUCCUGUUUGUGAAGAUGAGACAAGUUCAGUAUAUUUAAAAAAUUGCAAAAAAACUGUAUACAUGGGACAUCGAAGAUUCCUUCCAGAUGGUCACAUUUAUCGAGAGAAAAAGGAAGAGUUUGAUGGUAGUACCGAGCUCCGAAAGAUAAGGAAACGAUUUGAUGCAUUUUCAAGAGUUAAAAAUUUAAAAACUGUGUUGGGAAAAAAAACUGUGUUGGGAAAAAAAACUGUGUUGGGAAAAAGAACUCGCGUUGAGAAAGGUGUUAUUUGGAAAAAGAAGUUAAUCUUUUGGGAAUUACCUUACUGGAAACAUUUAGAUGUUAGACAUUGCCUAGAUGUUAUGCAUAUCGAAAAAAACGUAUGUGAUAGCUUGUUGGGCUUAUUGUUAAAUAUUCCCAGUAAAACGAAAGAUGGGAUAAAUGUCCGUAAAGACAUGGUAAAUAUGGGAAUACGUAAAGAGCUUGCCCCUGUUGAGAGAGACAACCGUAUUUUUCUGCCACCUGCAUGUUAUACUAUGUCAAGAGAAGAAAAAACAAAGUUUUGCAAAUGUUUACAUGAUAUUAAGGUACCAUCAACUUAUUCUGCAAACAUUAAAAGUUUAGUGUCAAUGAAAGACUGUAAACUUCUUGGUAUGAAGUCUCAUGAUUGUCAUGUUUUAAUGACACAUAUGAUUCCUAUUGCAGUUCGUGGAGUGUUACCCGGGAACAUCCGACAUACAAUCACAUCCGACAUACAAUCACUCGAAAGUUAUUGAUCCCGAGUCACUGGAUACAUGGCAAAAAGAAGUUAUCAUCACGCUCUGUGAACUAGAGAUGUACUUUCCACCGUCUUUUUUUGAUGUUAUGGUUCACCUAGUAUCCCAUAUAGUAGGAGAAAUUAAGGCUUGUGGCCCUGUAUUUCUACGUUGCAUGUACCCUUUUGAAAGAUAUAUGGGUUUUUUAAAAGGUUAUGUAAGAAAUCCUAACCGACCUGAGGGUAGUAUUGUUGAGGGAUAUGCUUCCGAGGAAGUGCUUGAAUUUUGUACAGGUUAUUUGGAAGGUGUGGAUAGUACUGGUGUACCUCAAUCUUGUCACUCGGGUAAACUUGAUGGGGUUGGAGGUGUUGGUAUGAAAAACAUCAUCCCAAGUCGUGACACUUUACAAAUUGCACAUUUAUUGGUCCUAAAACACAUGACUUGUCUUGCUCCAUUUGUUGAAGAACACAUGAACAUUUUACGGUCGACAUACCAGGGUAAGGAUAAUAUGUGGUAUAUAAUAAAGCAUAAUAAGGAGUUUUCUAGUUGGAUGAAAACUAAGGUAACAACAACUAAGGUUGACAGAAUUGUGGAAAAGUUAGGGCAAGGUCCAGAUUUUAAAGUUAAAUCUUACCAAGGGUACGACAUUAAUGGUUACACGUUUUAUACUAAAGAUCAAGAUGCAAAAAGUACAAUGCAGAACAGUGGAGUUACAAUAAUAGCAUCAACGGCUGAAUUUGAUAGGAUGAAUCAUGAUACAAUGAUAAGAAUUGCUAAAGAUUCUUAUUAUGGUGUCAUACAAGAAAUUUGGGAAUUAGACUAUUAUGAUUUCACUCAAACUGUGUUUAGAUGUAAAUGGGUGAAUAAUCGUACAGGUGUCAAAGUUGAUAAAUAUGGUUUUACUCUUGUAGACCUUAAAAGUGAUGGCUAUGCAUCUGAACCAUUUGUACUCGCAAAACAUGUCAGACAAGUGUUUUUUGUCAAUGACCCGAGCAACCCAAGAUACCACAUCGUCUUGCAAGGUAAACGACGUAUUAUUGGUGUCGACAAUGUUGCUAAUGAGGAAGAAUAUGACCAGUUUGAUGAUCUACCACCAUUUUCAGUCGGUAUUCAACCAGGUAAUUACAGGAUUGAAGGCACCACAUACUUACGAUCUGACCACACGGAAGGGACGUAUUGCUGAUAAACCACAUCAAACUAAAUGAUCAAGGAUAGACAAUGAUGAAGAUAAGCCAUGUGAUAGAUGAUCUCAUUUUUAUUGGACAUUUUCUAGUGGAAACUUAGUAAAAGAUUGUUAUUUUGUGUCUAA